GUGAUCGAGCGACGCCGCGUGGAGGAUGAAGGCCUUCGGGUUGUAAACUCCUUUUACCUGGCAAGAAAACCGGAAACCCAACACGUUUUCGGUUGACGCAACCAGGAGAAAAAGCCACGGCUAACUCUGUGCCAGCAGCCGCGGUAAUACAGAGGUGGCAAGCGUUGUUCGGAAUCACUGGGCAUAAAGGGCGCGUAGGCGGCGAGGCAAGUCGGGUGUGAAAUCCCUCAGCUCAACUGAGGAACUGCGCCCGAAACUACCUUGCUAGAGUGCAGGAGAGGAGAGUGGAACUCCUAGUGGAGCGGUGAAAUGCGUAGAGAUUAGGAGGAACGCCGGUGGCGAAAGCGACUCUCUGGCCUGUAACUGACGCUGAGGCGCGAAAGCUAGGGGAGCAAACGGGAUUAGAUACCCCGGUAGUCCUAGCCGUAAACGAU
RNAcentral lists this ribosomal RNA (434 nucleotides) under uncultured anaerobic ammonium-oxidizing bacterium. RNAcentral's name for it is "bacterial SSU rRNA". It matches the Rfam family "Bacterial small subunit ribosomal RNA", at positions 383 to 810 of the family's 1533-position model. The record is from RNAcentral.